RNAcentral lists this unclassified non-coding RNA (2124 nucleotides) under Hevea brasiliensis (rubber tree). Lineage: Eukaryota; Viridiplantae; Streptophyta; Magnoliopsida; Malpighiales; Euphorbiaceae. The record is from RNAcentral.
CCAAUUUCUUUUUCAAAAUUUGUAGUUCUAAUGUAAAAACAAUAUUUGGCUCACACAUUUUUAAGGUUGAUUCUGAGUUCUAUCAGGAUGCAAUAGAUUUUCCAACCCACAUUCUGGUCUUAACCACUGCUUUCUAAGAUUCUAGUCAAAAUCUUUUUACAUAUAAGAAGACAUAGAGGUUUACUCAGGAGCAUCUUAACACUACAGAUAUCCAACAUUUCAAGCAACUACUGUCGCAAUAUGCCAACUAAAUUGCAGCGAGAAAGUACUACUAGGUUGUUUCUCCUUUGAACUUCUAUACCAUAUAGCCUAUUUAGCUUUAUGAUUUGAUAGUUUAAUCUUUAUUUUUCAUUGUUUGCUUUUCUUGGGUAGUUGCCUUCUGUUUAGUUACAAAAGUAGGUCCAGUGUGCCCCUUCAUCUCCUCUCUAGCCUUGUUUGUUAACUGAUUUUUCAUUCUGCCAGGAAUAAAAUAUUUGGUUUGAGAAAGUAUUGUUUCAUUAUUCUGCAAUCUUUACCUUUCAGAACCUUCUGUUCAUGCAAACCUGGUCUCCUCUCAUAUCAUAUCUACCCCUUUUUUUGAUGAAUUCAGAUUGGUCUUGAAGUACCAAUAUAUUAUGAAAAGGUAAUAAGAGCCAAAUUACUUGAUAGUAAAAAACAUCGUGGCAAAUUAAUAUUCUUUUCUGCCAUGUCCAUAUGAUCUUCAUUAGUUGUCAUGUUUAUGAAAUGUUUGUGAUGUCUUUUGUUUCUCUUGAUGCUGCAUAUUGUCAUUUGCUUCUUGAUACUUGUUUGUAACAACUUUUCCCUUUUCCUUGCAGCUGUGGGUCUUGUGGAUACCCUUUGAACUUAACAUCUUCCAAUCGAAUCACUUCCAACAUAGGUUCUGAAUAUCACAAAUCCAUAAAGAAAGGUUUCAUCUCCUUCCUUUCUGUUGAUCUUAGCCGGUUCACGCAGGUUGACGAGGUAAAUUGUCUUCCUUUCUACUGGGGCCGCUAUCGUUCAAAAACUAAACUCCUUUGCCGUAAAUGUGGAGCUCAUAUAGGCUAUGGUUAUGGAGAUUCUGCUGCCUUCUGCAGUUUUGACUCACCCAGCUCAUCCAGCACUGCUUAUAAAAAGUUUGCCAUAAAGAUCCGAGCUUUACAACCUUCACAUGAGUGCUAAAAAAUUUGGCAUGGAAGAUCAUUCAAAUGAUGUUCUUACCUCUGUGAUGCACCUGCCCGAUGAUUGCCUUACUAUUAUUUUCCAAUGGCUUGACUCUAGUACUGAUCGUGAAUCAUUUGGGUUAACUUGCCGUCGCUGGUGUAAUAUACAAAAUAUGAGCCGCCGGUCCUUACAAUUUCAAUCCUCAUUCACGCACAACCUUGCUUCAUCAUCUCAGACUAGCCUUCGUAUUGAUUCCUACCAUCUUCAUAAGCUGCUCACCCGUUUUCAGCAUUUGCACUACUUGUCACUUUCUGGUUGCACUGAGCUACCUGAUUUAGGCCUAACCCCAUUGCACUUGUAUGGUUCAAAGUUGCUCUCCCUUCAUCUUGAUUGCUGUUUUGGACUCACAGAUAAUGGACUUUCCCUGGUUGCUACUGGUUGCCCCUCUCUAAUGGUUAUUAAUCUUUCCCGAUGCAAUAUUACUGAUGUUGGGUUAGAAGCUCUAGCGAAUGGUUGCCCAGCUUUGAAGCAAAUAAAUCUUUCAUACUGUCCACUUGUUUCUGACUCUGGACUGAGAGCUCUUUCUCAAGCAUGCCAUCAGCUUCAAACGGUUAAGAUGUCUUGUUGCAGGGAAAUAAAUGGUAUUGGUCUUACAGGUUGUUCACCAACUUUAGCUUAUAUAGAUGCUGAGUCUUGUAACCUUGAAACAAAAGGGAUAAUGGGAAUUGUUAGUGGAGGUGGGCUUGAGUAUUUAAAUGUGUCUGGUAUAAGCUGUUCCAUUCAUGAAGAUGGUUUGGCAGCAAUUGGUUCAGGUUUUGCCACAAGGCUUAAAAUUCUCAACCUUCGGAUGUGCAGAACUGUUGGUGACCACUCCAUCAUGGCAAUAGCAAAGGGUUGCCCAUUGCUCCAAGAAUGGAAUUUGGCAUUAUGUCAUUCAGUCAUGAUUUCAGGAUGGAAGUCUAUAGGGUCCAACUGCAAUAAAUU